This 390-nucleotide RNase P RNA is filed under the name uncultured Porphyromonas sp. RNAcentral's name for it is "Bacterial RNase P class A". It matches the Rfam family "Bacterial RNase P class A". From Rfam's summary of the family: Ribonuclease P (RNase P) is a ubiquitous endoribonuclease, found in archaea, bacteria and eukarya as well as chloroplasts and mitochondria. Its best characterised activity is the generation of mature 5'-ends of tRNAs by cleaving the 5'-leader elements of precursor-tRNAs. Cellular RNase Ps are ribonucleoproteins. The record is from RNAcentral. Lineage: Bacteria; Pseudomonadati; Bacteroidota; Bacteroidia; Bacteroidales; Porphyromonadaceae.
AGCUGGACAGUCUGUCGCGCAGUACUUUUGAUGCUGUGAGGAACGUCCGGGCAACGCAGAGUGCCAUACUACCUAACGGGUAGCAGGUCGUGAGGCUUGAGUAACGUAACAGAGAAUAACAGCCACAAAGGCGUUUCGCCUUGAGUGUACAGAGCCAGCCUCUGUACGUGGUGAUGGUGAAAAGGUAAGGUAAGAGCUUACCGGAUGAUAUAGCGAUAUAUCGUGCCGUACGUCUUAUGGGUUGCAAGAUCAUGUAAACCGACGCUAUGAGGGUUACUCGCCCCAGUCGGAGGGUAGAUUGCUAGAGCUAUGUAGAGAUGCAUAGUCGAGAUAAAUGACAGACGCAAGUCUUAUCGGCUUGUACAGAACCCGGCUUAUCGUUCAGCUCCU